This is a long non-coding RNA of Rhinolophus ferrumequinum (greater horseshoe bat), 476 nucleotides long. RefSeq lists it as uncharacterized. The transcript has 3 exons. The record is from RefSeq and is a predicted model, not a curated record. Lineage: Eukaryota; Metazoa; Chordata; Mammalia; Chiroptera; Rhinolophidae.
UGUGCCUCCGCUGGCCCGGGUGGAUCAAAGCGAGCCGUGGGCAGUGCACGGAAGGCGGCGGUCACACCGAAACGAGGGUUUGGACGUAACCUGUGAUUUCUGUCAAUGGUGCAAAGUGUUGGGGAAAAGGGGAAGAGGUAACCAGCCAAGGCAGUGUUGAGCCCAAAUGGAAGGUCUCUAUUGAGUGAAUGGAUUGGACUUCCUCUAAGGAAGGCACAUUGUUGGACCCUUCCCAAUGUUACUAUGACUCCCAUCAUGCACCUGGCGCCAUGACAGUUACAGAGGAGCCAAAUAAGGAAGAAAGAGUGGGAAAUGGAGGGUCGCACCUAGGUAGAGAUGAAUGAACCACGUCAACGGGAUGCCACCAAUUCCCGCCCAGGAGGGAUAAAUACCCCUAAUCGGGACUUUGUCUGAAAUACUCAAAUCUCUGAGUUCACCUGCAGUUCCCUCUCAACUGUACUUUAGUUUCAAUAAAC